Molecule: ribosomal RNA, 404 nt
Filed under: uncultured bacterium
Lineage: Bacteria
Description: bacterial SSU rRNA
Rfam family: Bacterial small subunit ribosomal RNA
Source: RNAcentral
UGGGGAAUAUUGCGCAAUGGGGGAAACCCUGACGCAGCCAUGCCGCGUGAGUGACGAAGGCCUUAGGGUUGUAAAGCUCUUUCGCUAGGGAAGAUAAUGACGGUACCUAGUAAAGAAGCCCCGGCUAACUCCGUGCCAGCAGCCGCGGUAAUACGGAGGGGGCUAGCGUUGUUCGGAAUCACUGGGCGUAAAGCGCGCGUAGGCGGAUUGAUUAGUUGGGGGUGAAAUCCCGGGGCUCAACCUCGGAACUGCCUUCAAUACUGUCAGUCUUGAGUUCGUGAGAGGUAAGUGGAAUUCCGAGUGUAGAGGUGAAAUUCGUAGAUAUUCGGAAGAACACCAGUGGCGAAGGCGACUUACUGGCACGAUACUGACGCUGAGGUGCGAAAGCGUGGGGAGCAAACAGG